RNAcentral lists this ribosomal RNA (1352 nucleotides) under uncultured bacterium. RNAcentral describes it as "bacterial SSU rRNA". It matches the Rfam family "Bacterial small subunit ribosomal RNA", at positions 28 to 1381 of the family's 1533-position model. The record is from RNAcentral.
AUUGAACGCUGGCGGCAUGCCUUACACACGCAAGUCGAACGGCAGCACGGAGCUUGCUCUGGUGGCGAGUGGCGAACGGGUGAGUAAUAUAUCGGAACGUACCCUAGAGUGGGGGAUAACGUAGCGAAAGUUACGCUAAUACCGCAUACGAUCUAAGGAUGAAAGUGGGGGAUCGCAAGACCUCAUGCUCGUGGAGCGGCCGAUAUCUGAUUAGCUAGUUGGUAGGGUAAAAGCCUACCAAGGCAUCGAUCAGUAGCUGGUCUGAGAGGACGACCAGCCACACUGGAACUGAGACACGGUCCAGACUCCUACGGGAGGCAGCAGUGGGGAAUUUUGGACAAUGGGCGAAAGCCUGAUCCAGCAAUGCCGCGUGAGUGAAGAAGGCCUUCGGGUUGUAAAGCUCUUUUGUCAGGGAAGAAACGGUGAGAGCUAAUAUCUUUUGCUAAUGACGGUACCUGAAGAAUAAGCACCGGCUAACUACGUGCCAGCAGCCGCGGUAAUACGUAGGGUGCAAGCGUUAAUUGGAAUUACUGGGCGUAAAGCGUGCGCAGGCGGUUUUGUAAGUCUGAUGUGAAAUCCCCGGGCUCAACCUGGGAAUUGCAUUGGAGACUGCAAGGCUAGAAUCUGGCAGAGGGGGGUAGAAUUCCACGUGUAGCAGUGAAAUGCGUAGAUAUGUGGAGGAACACCGAUGGCGAAGGCAGCCCCCUGGGUCAAGAUUGACGCUCAUGCACGAAAGCGUGGGGAGCAAACAGGAUUAGAUACCCUGGUAGUCCACGCCCUAAACGAUGUCUACUAGUUGUCGGGUCUUAAUUGACUUGGUAACGCGGCUAACGCGUGAAGUAGACCGCCUGGGGAGUACGGUCGCAAGAUUAAAACUCAAAGGAAUUGACGGGGACCCGCACAAGCGGUGGAUGAUGUGGAUUAAUUCGAUGCAACGCGAAAAACCUUACCUACCCUUGACAUGGCUGGAAUCCUUGAGAGAUCAGGGAGUGCUCGAAAGAGAACCAGUACACAGGUGCUGCAUGGCUGUCGUCAGCUCGUGUCGUGAGAUGUUGGGUUAAGUCCCGCAACGAGCGCAACCCUUGUCAUUAGUUGCUACGAAAGGGCACUCUAAUGAGACUGCCGGUGACAAACCGGAGGAAGGUGGGGAUGACGUCAAGUCCUCAUGGCCCUUAUGGGUAGGGCUUCACACGUCAUACAAUGGUACAUACAGAGCGCCGCCAACCCGCGAGGGGGAGCUAAUCGCAGAAAGUGUAUCGUAGUCCGGAUUGUAGUCUGCAACUCGACUGCAUGAAGUUGGAAUCGCUAGUAAUCGCGGAUCAGCAUGUCGCGGUGAAUACGUUCCCGGGUCU